AUGGAAGUUGCCAAGUUGAUUGCUAUGACAGCAGAGCAUGGGGGGGAAGGCGGGGGAGGAGUAGAGAUGGCGGCGGCGGCUCCGGGGGGCAGGGGCGGGGAGCCCCGGGGAGCCGACGGGGUCGGCCCGGGGGGUCCCGGGGGAAGUGGAGGUGGUGAAGGGGCAGCCGUUCGACGUGGGCCCGCGCUACACGCAGCUGCAGUACAUCGGCGAGGGGGCGUACGGCUUGGUCAGCUCCACUUAUGACCACUUGCGAAAGACCCGGGUGGCCAUCAAGAAGAUCAGUCCCUUUGAGCAUCAGACCUACUGCCAGCGCACACUCCGGGAGAUCCAGAUCCUGCUGCGCUUCCGCCAUGAGAAUGUCAUAGGCAUCUGAGACAUUCUCUGGGCACCUACACUGGAAGCCAUGAGGGAUGUCUACAUUGUACAGGACCUGAUGGAGACAGAUCUAUACAAGUUGCUCAAAAGCCAGCAGCUGAGCAACGAUCACAUCUACUUCCUGUACCAGAUCCUGCGUGGCCUCAAGUAUAUCCACUCAGCCAACGUGCUGCACCGAGACCUGAAGCCCUGGUCCAACCUGCUCAUCAACACCACCUGCGACCUUAAGAUAUGCGAUUUCGGCCUGCCCCGCAUUGCAGAUCCUGAGCACGACCACACAGGCUUUCUGACGGAGUAUGUGGCCACACGCUGGUACCGGGCCCCCGAGAUCAUGCUUAACUCCAAGGGCUAUACCAAGUCCAUCGACAUCUGGUCUGUGGGCUGCAUUCUGGCUGAAAUGCUCUCCAACCGGCCCAUCUUCCCUGGCAAGGACUACCUGGACCAGCUCAACCACAUUCUGGAGAUUCUGGGCUCCCCUUCCCAGGAAGACCUGAAUUGCAUCAUCAACAUGAAAGCCCGAAACUACCUACAUUCGCUGCCGUCCAAGACCAAGGUGGCUUGGGCCAAGCUUUUUCCCAAGUUGGACUCUAAAGCUCUUGACCUGCUGGACCGGAUGUUAACCUUCAACCCCAACAAGCGGAUCACAGUGGAGGAAGCACGGGCCCACCCCUACCUGGAGCAGUACUACGAUCCCACAAAUGAGCCAGUGGCUGAGGAGUCCUUCACUUUUGACAUGGAGCUGGAUGAUCUACCCAAGGAGUGGCUGAAGGAGCUCAUCUUCCAGGAGACAGCCCACUUCCAGCCAGGGGGCCCAGAUGCCCCCUAACCCCGUCAGAAAUGCCUGUUCCUCAGGGUCUGGCCUUGUCACCUGCCCACCCUCCCCUGUUGGGCUGUUAGAAAACGGACACUGUGCUCAGCCCAGACCCCAGCAGCUCGGCCAGGCCAAAGGUGGGCCUGUCCACCUUCUCACCCUUUGCUGGGGUCUCCUGCUUGAAGCAGGAUAAGGUUCCCUUCUGCCCCAUCCCUUUCUCUUUUCACCGAGGGCCUGAGAGGCUCGAGGCUCCUAAGCAAAUACCUACCCAGGCUAGCCCAAGGCUAGACCACUCUGCAGUGCAAGGGCUGUGGCUACCCCAGGAUGGAGUACCCAGGGGCUGGGGUGCUGAGUAGGAACUCAAGACAAGCCCUCCCCACUCACCCCAUUAGAACCCCACCCUGUUUCCCCUGUGGGACCAUUCCCAAGUCUCAAGGGCUAGUAUCCUGAGGAGCUGGGCCCAGGCCUUCCCCUCCCCCUCUCUGCCCCCCAAAAGCUGCCACAUUUAACGCCUUGCUGCUUCUGUGUGUGGGUGAGAGAAGCGGACUGAUGUGGGUGGGGCCCUCCCCGUGGGGCCCUCCCCGCCCCCG
Molecule: RNA transcript, 1779 nt
Organism: Perognathus longimembris pacificus (Pacific pocket mouse)
Lineage: Eukaryota; Metazoa; Chordata; Mammalia; Rodentia; Heteromyidae
Gene name: mitogen-activated protein kinase 3-like
Exons: 2
Source: RefSeq, a predicted model, not a curated record